GAGAAUAGCAUCCAGAAUGCUGAGAGAGGAGA
Molecule: non-coding RNA, 32 nt
Filed under: Homo sapiens (human)
Lineage: Eukaryota; Metazoa; Chordata; Mammalia; Primates; Hominidae
Source: RNAcentral